This 486-nucleotide ribosomal RNA is filed under the name uncultured bacterium. RNAcentral's name for it is "partial 16S ribosomal RNA". It matches the Rfam family "Bacterial small subunit ribosomal RNA", at positions 30 to 507 of the family's 1533-position model. The record is from RNAcentral.
AUUGAACGCUGGCGACAUGCCUUACACAUGCAAGUCGAACGGCAGCACGGGUGCUUGCCCCUGGUGGCGAGUGGCGAACGGGUGAGUAAUACAUCGGAACAUGUCCUGUAGUGGGGGAUAGCCCGGCGAAAGCCGGAUUAAUACCGCAUACGAUCUACGGAUGACAGCGGGGGACCUUCGGGCCUCGCGCUAUAGGGUUGGCCGAUGGCUGAUUAGCUAGUUGGUGGGGUAAAGGCCUACCAAGGCGACGAUCAGUAGCUGGUCUGAGAGGACGACCAGUCACACUGGGACUGAGACACGGCCCAGACUCCUACGGGAGGCAGCAGUGGGGAAUUUUGGACAAUGGGCGAAAGCCUGAUCCAGCAAUGCCGCGUGUGUGAAGAAGGCCUUCGGGUUGUAAAGCACUUUUGUCCGGAAAGAAAUCCUUGGCCCUAAUACGGUCGGGGGAUGACGGUACCGGAAGAAUAAGCACCGGCUAACUACGUG